This 101-nucleotide microRNA precursor is filed under the name Marmota monax (woodchuck). Lineage: Eukaryota; Metazoa; Chordata; Mammalia; Rodentia; Sciuridae. The record is from RNAcentral.
CUUGGAAUUUGGGUCAAAUGGUGAUUCUAUUCCAAGUUUUCUGAGGAAUAUUCAUAUUGAUUGCCAAAGUGGUUGUACCAAUUUGCAGUCCCACCAGCAAU